GGGACGUUCUCGAGAGCUCAAUCGGCUGCCUAAAGGCGGUAGUUUCCCGUGCUGUACGCAGGCAUGCUACUUCAUUCGCAGACAACUGUGAGGCUAGAGGAUAGUCAGACCCAGGCCCCCCGGCUCCCAGUGUGACAGGGAAGACAUACGUCACAUUGACAGUGUUUGUAGGAUAUUGGGCUGUAAGGAUCCGGUUGAGGGGUUCCAGGUCCCACAGAAGGUGAGGUGGGUGACCCAUGAGUAUCCCUGAACUGAGUGAAGAGUAAAUGAUGCAUAGGAAGUUUAGAUAAGGGAGGAGAAAGUGUUCCAGGUCGAGCAAAUAUGCAGAAGCCAGGAAGGAGGUGAGAUCAUAGCGUGUGUUUGGAAACAGAAAGAAUAGGCCUGAGUGGGUGGGAGAGAGGGGAACGCUGGACAAGAGGACUUGGGCUUGGGAGGCAUGAGGAGGUCACCAUUUGUACUACACCGAGUACAGAUGUCCACUGAGGGGCCCAUUGCCACUCCCCUUCCCAGGUCCCUGAAGACUUCAUCUCCCGAGAGCUGUUUGACACAGUCCAAGUGUACAUCAUCACCAAGCCAGAGCUGCAGAACAAGCUUAUCACUGUGUGAGGCCCUAGCUCGGGCCAUGGAAAAGAAGCUGAUCGGCUGUCCUGUGUGCAUCGAACACAAGAAGUACAGCCGCAAUGCCCUCCUCUUCAACCUGGGCUUCGUGUGUGAUGCCCAGGCCAAGACCUGCGCCCUCGAGCCCAUUGUUAAAAAGCUGGCUGGCUAUCUGACCACACUAGAGCUAGAGAGCAGCUUCGUGUCCACGGAGGAGAGCAAGCAGAAGUUGGUGCCCAUCAUGACCAUCUUGCUGGAGGAGCUAAAUGCCUCGGGCCGGUGCACUCUGCCCAUUGAUGAGUCCAACACCAUCCACUUGAAGGUGAUUGAGCAGCGGCCAGACCCUCCGGUGGCCCAGGAGUAUGAUGUACCUGUCUUUACCAAAGACAAGGAGGAUUUCUUCAACUCACAGUGGGACCUCACUACACAACAAAUCCUGCCCUACAUUGAUGGGUUCCGCCACGUCCAGAAGAUUUCAGCAGAGGCAGACGUGGAGCUCAACCUGGUGCGCAUUGCUAUCCAGAACCUGCUGUACUAUGGCGUUGUGACACUGGUGUCCAUCCUCCAGUACUCCAAUGUAUACUGCCCAACGCCCAAGGUCCAGGACCUGGUAGAUGACAAGUCCCUGCAGGAGGCAUGUCUAUCCUACGUGACCAAGCAAGGGCACAAGAGGGCCAGUCUCCGGGAUGUGUUCCAGCUAUACUGCAGCCUGAGCCCUGGCACUACUGUGCGAGACCUCAUUGGCCGCCACCCCCAGCAGCUGCAGCACGUUGAUGAACGGUCAGAGGAGAAUUCGCUGGGGCAUUUGGGAGUUACCUGAGGAAAGCUAGACCCUUUAUGUCUCUCAGGAGCCCUGGGUCAUGGGGCACUGCCAAUCCAAACAGGCUUCCUGGAGAUGGUGGGCUACAAAGACAAAAUUGAAGGGACACUACAGGAAAGGGUUCGCCUGCCUGAGAGAAGGCCUGGCCAGGGCGUCACCCCUCUGUCCUCUGAUCCUCACCCUAGGAAGCUGAUCCAGUUCGGGCUUAUGAAGAACCUCAUCAGGCGACUACAGAAGUAUCCUGUGCGGGUGUCUCGGGAAGAGCAGAGCCACCCUGCCCGGCUUUAUACAGGCUGCCACAGCUAUGACGAGAUCUGCUGCAAGACAGGCAUGAGCUACCAUGAGCUGGAUGAGCGGCUUGAAAAUGACCCCAACAUUAUCAUCUGCUGGAAGUGAGGCUGGUGGUGGCUGGAUGGACACAUUGCUGUGGGUAGUCCCUCCUACCAGGAGGCUUGUCAUACUGUCUAGAGCUUGACUCUUAGUUCUGUAAAUAAAGACAUCCAUUUCAAACAGC
Molecule: non-coding RNA, 1931 nt
Organism: Macaca mulatta (Rhesus monkey)
Lineage: Eukaryota; Metazoa; Chordata; Mammalia; Primates; Cercopithecidae
Source: RefSeq, a predicted model, not a curated record